Molecule: long non-coding RNA, 1636 nt
Organism: Scylla paramamosain (green mud crab)
Lineage: Eukaryota; Metazoa; Arthropoda; Malacostraca; Decapoda; Portunidae
Exons: 3
Source: RefSeq, a predicted model, not a curated record
UGAGAAUGGACGAUGAUGACGUGGAUCGUCACGUGGACGUGGUCAUCAACAUGGCAGGUAGCAUGUGGAGGUGUGUGCUCUCCUGCUGCUGCUGUUGGGUAAAAGAUGACCGAGUGGUAAGUCAUGGUGCUGGCAGCCUUACAAGUUGACAUGUGCCCGAAGACCACUGCAUAUUGUGCUCCACACUCCAGUCUUGCUUCAGUUGGAGUUGGAUUCAUGUGUGUACAGGUCAUGCAGUGCUGCAGUCCCAGUAUCCUUGACACAUGAAUCAUCCAGGCCAUGUCCUGCUGGCCUAGGUCAGGUCUGGUCAGGUCACUCCAGGGUUGAGGUGGCAACAGUGUGGAUGGGUAGAGCAAACACCCCAAGUACCAAGUUAGUCUGGAUCCACUUUAGUAGUGAUGUGCCUUGCUUCGUUUUGCAACCAUUGCUCAGUGCAUAAACAAUACUAGAGUUUUAGUUGUGGAUAACUGUUAAAUGAUUGGGUUAAGCCCCACAUCAUGACAGGUUUCCUAGAUAUUAUAUAACCUGGAGGAGUCUGCUUACUAACUGAUAAAUGCAUCUUUGGAUCACAUUUUAUCAUUAGUUAUGAAUUGUGAUCUUGGUGUCUGGAGAGCUAGAAUAAUGAGAACAUGUUUGUAAUGUUGUUAACCUUUGUAUUUCUAAAGUGAAUGUGUUGCAAGAAAACUAUCAUGUUUUCAGAUUGGGCUUGUUAUAUGUUUUCCUGAAAUCAUAUUGGUAGUGUCAGGAUGGUACCAUGAGAAAUCAGUGAUGGCUGUGUUCCCAGUAUAUUGUAAAUGCUACAAAGCUAAUGCUGGCAAAUGUGAAUAGCUAGAAAUGUCUUCCUUGGAAACCAAAAUUCAACCAUGUAAGAGCUCAUUAUUCUUUGUUCAUUUAAUGAGUCACUUUAUCUUGAAUUCAAUGGUCAGUAUAUAGAUAUACCUAAUUUCCUGCAGUUCUGUGUAAUUUAUAGUUUUGAUUCAGGUUUUUCCCUCUACACCAAACUCCUCAUUUUGUUAAGAGGGCUGUUGGUUUUUCAUAAAUAGGCUUAGUUUUUUCCUUUGUAGUGAUUAAUAUACUUUUCAUAGUUAGAUUUGCAGUCAUUUUGUCAUUCUUUUUGUAGAGGAUGCAUACAAAAUUAUCACUUUGGUAAUUUCUGUAACUUUGAGUCAGUUUCUCUGGAUGUUUGAGAUCAUCAUUUAAUGAAGAAUAAGGAAAUUUUGUGAAUUAGACUAGAUGGUGUGGCUGUCUGUAACUUUUAGUUAGUUUCUCUGGAUAUUUGAAGUCAUCAUUUAAUGAAGAAUAAGAAAAUUUUGUGAAUUAGACUAGAUGAUGUGGUUGUAUGUGUUAUUUGCAUUCUUUUAAGGUUCUGUGUGUCCAUUGUUAUUAGUGGCAAGACAGUUAAGGAUAACCAACUUUCACUUGGGCAGUGAACUGUAUAGGUAGUGCUUGCUCUGGGUGUGAUCACUGACUGGUUACAGUUUAGGCUGAAUUUUCACCUUUUCUAACUAUAAAGCAUCACAGUAAUCUGCUCCUGCAACCUUUUAGGAUGUAAAUUAUAUUAAAAUAAUAUUUAAGGUGCUUUAUUAGGUCACAUAAUUAACAAAUUAAACCACAAAAUUGGUAUUUUCAGUUAAAA